Non-coding RNA from Vigna umbellata (rice bean), 584 nucleotides. The record is from RefSeq and is a predicted model, not a curated record. NCBI's taxonomy places the organism in Eukaryota, Viridiplantae, Streptophyta, Magnoliopsida, Fabales, Fabaceae.
AAAAUUAAAAGAAUUGUUGUUUUAGUUUGUUUUCCAUCGUUUUCAAAUAAACAUGUUUUGUUACAUCUUAUAUUUCAGGACAAUGUUCAGAUUAUGAAGGAUAUGAAUUUGGAUGUUUACAAAUUUUACAUGAUGGAAAGCUAAGUGGAGGUAUAAACCAAGAAGGAAUUGACUCUUACAACAACCUUAUCAAUAAGGUAUUGCAAAUGGAACAUAACCCUAUUUGGCCACACAUCACCAACUUGUUGCUCAUGCAGCUGUGGUUAAUGUGUACAGAACUAAGUAUCAGAGCUUGAUCUGUCAUGGAGAAAGGUGCAAGUAGGAAAUAGAGAGAAGGAAAGGAGAAGUGCAAGAGGCAUUGCUUGAGGCCAUAGGCGCUAGUCGACCAUGGCGAAGAAGCAAUUACAAAAUGCAGAAGUAAUUUUUGUAGGUGUUUGUAUGACAUUGGAGUUGGCUAAGUUUGGAAAACUCUUCAUCACUUUCAUUGUAAAUGUUUCUGACAUAGUGCCAACUACUUAAGUUUAAGUUUGAUUAUUAUGAGUAUAUAUUAAAAUUUUGAUUAUUGAAUAGAUAAAUAUUGUAAG